GUUUGAGGGUCAUCCCCUAGCACCGGGGAGUCACUCAAGGUUUUGCGGCAACAUUGUGUCCGCGAGUGGAGCCGGGACGCGGGAGCCUAGCUCAGCGGGUUCACACGAGCUUCGCAAAGGGGCCGCGAGGUCGAACCGCCGGAGCGCUGGGGGCGCGGGCGGGUGGAGAGGCGCAGGAUGCGUUGUCAUGGAGAUGUCUGUGACGUCACACCGGUCGGGCCGCAAGACCUUCCUUCUCGACCCAGUGGAUGGUCACACUGGGAACAAAAUGGACAUGCCAUUCAGAAGAACUGGGUGACCUUGAUGGAUUCUGAGAGGAGCCUGGGAGCUCUGGAGAGGCCGACCUACACACACAAGUUACCAUGAGAUGUGGCCGCCUCUGAAACUGCUUCUCCCUUUACAGCUUGGUCAACAUUGUCUUGGAGUUACCAGCGUCGCUCCCUCCCAACUCCUCUGCUCUCAGAAGCCGGCCCUCUGGACUUCACCUCCGCCUUCUCUCUUCAGCCUCUGCUCCUGGUUGCUCCUGGACUCCAGGGCCCAGGGCGCCGACCCCCGGGAUUCUGGAGGGAAGCAAGUGACAUGAACCAGCAGGGAGGUGUGUAGUCUC
This 607-nucleotide long non-coding RNA is filed under the name Bos mutus (wild yak). RNAcentral's name for it is "lncRNA (ENSBMUG00000014981.1)". The record is from RNAcentral. Lineage: Eukaryota; Metazoa; Chordata; Mammalia; Artiodactyla; Bovidae.